Molecule: ribosomal RNA, 913 nt
Filed under: uncultured bacterium
Lineage: Bacteria
Description: bacterial SSU rRNA
Rfam family: Bacterial small subunit ribosomal RNA
Source: RNAcentral
AGAGUUUGAUCAUGGCUCAGAUUGAACGCUGGCGGCAGGCCUAACACAUGCAAGUCGAGCGGAUGAGGGGUGCUUGCACCCCGAUUCAGCGGCGGACGGGUGAGUAAUGCCUAGGAAUCUGCCCGAUAGUGGGGGACAACGUUUCGAAAGGAACGCUAAUACCGCAUACGUCCUACGGGAGAAAGUGGGGGCUCUUCGGACCUCACGCUAUCGGAUGAGCCUAGGUCGGAUUAGCUAGUUGGUGGGGUAAAGGCCCACCAAGGCGACGAUCCGUAACUGGUCUGAGAGGAUGAUCAGUCACACUGGAACUGAGACACGGUCCAGACUCCUACGGGAGGCAGCAGUGGGGAAUAUUGGACAAUGGGCGAAAGCCUGAUCCAGCCAUGCCGCGUGUGUGAAGAAGGUCUUCGGAUUGUAAAGCACUUUAAGUCGGGAGGAAGGGCUGUAGGUUAAUACCCUGCGGUUUUGACGUUACCGACAGAAUAAGCACCGGCUAACUUCGUGCCAGCAGCCGCGGUAAUACGAAGGGUGCAAGCGUUAAUCGGAAUUACUGGGCGUAAAGCGCGCGUAGGUGGUUUGGUAAGUUGGAUGUGAAAGCCCCGGGCUCAACCUGGGAACUGCAUCCAAAACUGCCUGACUAGAGUACGGUAGAGGGUGGUGGAAUUUCCUGUGUAGCGGUGAAAUGCGUAGAUAUAGGAAGGAACACCAGUGGCGAAGGCGACCACCUGGACUGAUACUGACACUGAGGUGCGAAAGCGUGGGGAGCAAACAGGAUUAGAUACUCUGGUAGUCCACGCCGUAAACGAUGUCGACUAGCCGUUGGGCUCCUUGAGAGCUUAGUGGCGCAGCUAACGCAUUAAGUCGACCGCCUGGGGAGUACGGCCGCAAGGUUAAAACUCAAAUGAAUUGACGG